Molecule: ribosomal RNA, 483 nt
Filed under: uncultured bacterium
Lineage: Bacteria
Description: partial 16S ribosomal RNA
Rfam family: Bacterial small subunit ribosomal RNA
Source: RNAcentral
AUUGAACGCUGGCGGCAGGCCUAACACAUGCAAGUCGAGCGGAUGAAGGGAGCUUGCUCCUGGAUUCAGCGGCGGACGGGUGAGUAAUGCCUAGGAAUCUGCCUGGUAGUGGGGGAUAACGUCCGGAAACGGGCGCUAAUACCGCAUACGUCCUGAGGGAGAAAGUGGGGGAUCUUCGGACCUCACGCUAUCAGAUGAGCCUAGGUCGGAUUAGCUAGUUGGUGGGGUAAAGGCCUACCAAGGCGACGAUCCGUAACUGGUCUGGGAGGAUGAUCAGUCACACUGGAAAGGAGACACGGGCCCGACCCCUACGGGGGGCAGGAGGGGGGAAUAUUGGAAAAUGGGCGAAAGCCCGAUCCCGCCAUGCCGGGGGUGUGAAGAAGGUCUUCGGAUUGUAAAGCACUUUAAGUUGGGAGGAAGGGCAGUAAGUUAAAACCUUGUUGUUUUGACGUUACCAACAGAAUAAGCACCGGCUAACUUCGU